UGGGGAAUCUUGGACAAUGGGGGCAACCCUGAUCCAGCCAUGCCGCGUGAGUGAUGAAGGCCUUCGGGUCGUAAACUCCUGUCAGUAGGGACGAAAAAGUAGGGUCGAACAGGCCUUGCCAUUGACGGUACCUGCAGAGGAAGCCCCGGCUAACUCCGUGCCAGCAGCCGCGGUAAUACGGAGGGGGCAAGCGUUAUUCGGAAUUACUGGGCGUAAAGGGCGUGUAGGCGGCUUGAUAGGUCAAAAGGUGAAAUCCCUCGGCUCAACCGAGGAACUGCCUUUGAAACCAUCUGGCUCGAGGCUGGGAGGGGGUAGCGGAAUUCCUGGGUGUAGCGGUGAAAUGCGUAGAUAUCAGGAGGAACACCAGUGGCGAAGGCGGCUACCUGGACCAGUUCUGACGCUGAGGCGCGAAAGCGUGGGG
Molecule: ribosomal RNA, 421 nt
Filed under: uncultured bacterium
Lineage: Bacteria
Description: bacterial SSU rRNA
Rfam family: Bacterial small subunit ribosomal RNA
Source: RNAcentral